RNAcentral lists this ribosomal RNA (326 nucleotides) under uncultured bacterium. Its description in RNAcentral is "bacterial SSU rRNA". It matches the Rfam family "Bacterial small subunit ribosomal RNA", at positions 28 to 334 of the family's 1533-position model. The record is from RNAcentral.
GAUGAACGCUGGCGGCGUGCUUAACACAUGCAAGUCGAACGAAGCACUGAAAGCGGAACACUUCGGUAUGAAGCUUUCUUUGACUGAGUGGCGGACGGGUGAGUAACGCGUGGGUAACCUGCCUCAUACAGGGGGAUAACAGUUAGAAAUGACUGCUAAUACCGCAUAAGCGCACGGAACCGCAUGGUUUUGUGUGAAAAACUCCGGUGGUAUGAGAUGGACCCGCGUCUGAUUAGCUGGUUGGCGGGGUAACGGCCCACCAAGGCGACGAUCAGUAGCCGGCCUGAGAGGGUGAACGGCCACAUUGGGACUGAGACACGGCCCAA